UAUCAGUUGAAAAGCUUUCUGACACUAAUUUUAAAUAUUAGAACUUCACAAAAAGACUUUGACCAACUGGUCACACAGCAGGUCUCCAGUGAGGCUGUCAGUAACUUGUGACUCUCGUCAGCCCUGUGGUGUGUCAGUGCCGUUAUGGGGGCAGAGAAUGGUGGUCUUAAAAAUGAGUGUUUUGUGUGCUUGUGCUCUAACUGAUUUAUUAAAUGGCAAUUAUUUCUGCUUCCAGCAAUUCCAGACAAGAUAGGAAAGAGCGAGGACUUUUCUCCCCCACCCUUCUUUUCCAUUACUAAAGAAUAUGAAAAUGUUGACUGAAUUAUUUAUGCCAGUGCAAUCAUAUUCAGCAUAUUUAUGGUUACAUUUAGUUGUUAGCAAAUUGUACCUCACAAAGGCACAGCCAGUCCUGUCAGGUAUGUAGUGAAAUGACUCUUAUGGCACAGCAAAUGCCUUAAAGGUGAUGGCUUUCUUUUUCCUUUUCAAUAUCAUUCAGAAAUCAACCAGUCUAGAAUGGAGUGAUCGCUUGCUUUAGUCUUCAUUGAUCCAAAACAUCCUUACUGCUUGUGACUGGCUGGAUGCCAACAAAGACCAACUUGUUGGGACAGUCCUCCGGCCAAGAAUUCUGGAAAUGGACGAGGAUGAAGUUACAUACACAAUU
Polypterus senegalus (gray bichir) is the source of this 661-nucleotide long non-coding RNA. RefSeq lists it as uncharacterized. NCBI's taxonomy places the organism in Eukaryota, Metazoa, Chordata, Cladistia, Polypteriformes, Polypteridae. The transcript has 2 exons. The record is from RefSeq and is a predicted model, not a curated record.